GUGCUUGCUUUUGGCAGCGCAUAUACUAAAUUCAAACAAUACAGAGAAGAUUACCAUAGCCUCUGUCUUUGCAAGGAUAGCACACAAAUUCAUGAAGUCUUCCAUGUUUUU
Molecule: small nuclear RNA, 111 nt
Organism: Phodopus roborovskii (desert hamster)
Lineage: Eukaryota; Metazoa; Chordata; Mammalia; Rodentia; Cricetidae
Source: RefSeq, a predicted model, not a curated record